This is a small nuclear RNA of Echinops telfairi (small Madagascar hedgehog), 159 nucleotides long. RefSeq annotates it as U1 spliceosomal RNA. NCBI's taxonomy places the organism in Eukaryota, Metazoa, Chordata, Mammalia, Afrosoricida, Tenrecidae. The transcript has a single exon. The record is from RefSeq and is a predicted model, not a curated record.
AGAGUCAGGGGAGAUAACCAUUAUCAACGUAGGUGGUGGCCCCAGGGCGAGGCUUAUCCAUUGCACGCUGGAUGUGCCGAUCCCUGCAAUUUCCCCAAAAGUGGGAAACUCGACUGCAGAAUUUGUGGUAGUUGGGGACAGUGUUCGUGCUCUCCGCUG